UGGGUAUGUCUUGACUAACUGAGAGCAGACUAAUACACUCAGUCUCUUGAAAAAUAAAACCAAGUUUCUGGGAUGAGUAAAUUAGUAGAAUGAAUAUAAUUUAUUAAGAUAGUAUAUUCAAAAGAUGAACAGUUUUGCAGUAUGGAGUGGGGAAGGUUGAUGGAAGUCUCCAAAAUGAAACCACUGAUAAAUUUGAUAUGCCUGUGAGACAAGGUAAAGAUAUCACAGAGUGUAGGAUCUAUAACUCUCAUGUUAAAAACUGUAGCCUGGUAGGAAAUAUAAAUUUGGUGGUCAGGGAACAAUAUAUAAUGAAUAUGAGUUAAAGAGAUCAUCUGUGCCUGUUGGCAAAAAUGUAGAGGGAAAAAGUAAGGACUCAAGAAAGAGUCUAGUAGAGGAAAAGAAGCUGGAAAAGGUGACAGAGAAAAACAGAGGAGUAGGGAGUGGUGUUAAAAAUUUAAGCUGGAAGCAAUAUACAUGGCAACGACAACAUAACAAUAAGAGUGGCGAUCUGAGUGUUGUAAAACACAUUCUAAAGAUACUUACAUUGUUCAGUCUAUAUAAACAUGGAUUAACAUUAGAUACAAUUAGGCUAAGAAUGCAUGUUGAAGUAACUAGAUAACUAAAUAAUUUAUAGUUUAAAACACUCAAAUUAGAAAAAAGGAAAAAAUAAAGUACUAAGUGUUCAACUCAGGAAGUUAGGAAAAAGGCAUAAUAAGCCUGAAGUAAAAGGAAGGAAAAUAAAGAGAAUAGCAGAAACUAGUAAAAGGAAAUAGAAACUAUUCUAGAAAGAGUUCCUAGAGGAUGAGGCAUGGGGGGAACAAACCCAGACACUCAGCAUAGAUCAUACUUACUGCAUUAGUUUUAAGAUGUGAAGCAAGAAAGCAACCUUGCUAUCACCAAUUCUAAUCAUAUGGUUCUGAAGGUACUAAUCAGAGCAGUGUGAAAAGUUACAAGAAUUCAUCAGAAAGAAAAAAACUAAACUGUUGCUAUUCACAGAUGCUAUGACCACAGAGAAAUGCAAUGUAUUAAUUAGCAUUAAGAAGAAUUUACUAAGUUUUCUAAAUUUAAAAUUAAUAUAAAUCAUGGAAUUUAUCUACAUCAGAAACAGAAAAAACAACUAAAAACCCAAAUGUAUCUCAUUGCCAAAUAAUACAUUAUUAAUUAUAGAUUUUAGUUUGUUGUAUUCUGAAUUUUCUUAAAAUACUUUUCAGUAUGCAAACUGAAAAUAUUAGAUUUGACUUGUAUAUUCCGAGACAGAGACAGAGAGAGAGAGAGAGAGAGAGAGAGAGAGAUAGGUGGUGAAGAGGCAAAUUGCUUUCCUUGUGCACACUAGUCAGAAAUCUUUAUUUGGUAAGAAUUUGUUGAAGAAUUUGCAUAUGCUAGUUCAGCUAUAAAAUAAUCUUUCUAACAUCUGGUUAUCUCAUACUCCCAUCUAGUGGAAAGCAGCAAGUUAUCCUACUACAGCAUGUUCUUUACUUUUACUCUUUGGUUAACAAAAACAAUGUAAUUAUUUAUAAAACUAUCACACUGCUUUUGGUUCAAGUUUAAAAUUAUACCUUCCUGAGGGGGGAAGAAGGUGGAGUGGGAAUUUAGUUCUUAAUAUAGCUAAAUAGAUCCUUAUAUGGCUGUGAGCUACAGCAUGCAUCCCAAUAAUUAGCAAAGUGGUAUCUUAAAGGAUCGAGGCCGUAUAAUAAACACUGGACUUUGGAAAUUUUUACAAUCUAUGUUCUACACCAGUACAACAUGAAUACCACAAAAUAAGGGUCAGAUUUUAGAAUCUGAAAGAUAAAUAAUAAAAGAUACAAGUGAAAUAAAGCCUGAUGAUUUCUGAAGCAUGAAUAAACUAUGGUGAGCUGUGGCUUGGUUAAAAAAGUUAUAUUUACUGUGAAAGUGUUAAAUAUAAAGAGUUAAAUUUACUAAUUAUAGAAGAACCAGCUCUGUAUUUUUUUAAAUUAUUAUUUGUCUUGACAAUUAGAAGAAUUCACAAUCUCAGGAAGCCUCUGCUUUUCUAUCAAUGCCUUUAACCACCCAACAUACCUUUGUUAAUAAGUGAGUAAAAUCAGGUUAAAACAACAUACCAAUAACGCUAGUGGUAAGAAAAAAGAAAUACCUAAGAAGUCAUACUAUGCCAUAUAAUUUUCAGUUUCCUAAGUAGAGAAAACCUAUGAUUGAUUUGUUAUAAUUUUAAAAAUCAUGACUAUAUUAAAAGCCUCAUCUGCAUCCUCCAAUGUGGUGAAUUGUGGUGACAGAGUCCUUGGUAAGAAUGUGACCCAAGAAGGGUGGGAUGGCUCUUCAACUAGAGCUGUCAUCAUUAAAACAGUUGGGAUGACCACAUCCCUUCCAGAAGCCUUACACUGGAGCUCCAUUUCUACAAGGAGAAGAGCCAGCUACAAACUACUCUGCAAGAAAACAUACUAUAAAAUCAGCACCAGGUGCCAGGAGCUAUCUAUUGUGGAAAUCUGUGCUAUUACCACUUACCUAGUUUUAGGUUUUAAAAAUAUUUUUCUUAGAGUUCUAAUCUACAGUGUUUUAUAUUUGAGUCUCCCACAUUUAAACUAAAACAUUUUACUUUUAGAAAUACCUAUAAAAACUUUCAAAGUCAUUUGGAAGCAAUCCAAUACAUUUAUUAAAAGAAAAACCUUGUUGUGGAAUUGGAGAAGAAAAGGAUGCCACUGUGAUCUUGUUAUCCAAGAGCGGCCUGAGAAUAAGUGGGACGUUUAUCACAUAUUCAAUUUCAGCCUAAACUAACCCAGAUUCUACCCUUAAGAAAAUGAAGAACUUUAAAAACGUGGUUUUAUACAAACCUAAAACAAAAACACAAACAGAGUAUGGGUGAGCACAAUACCCAUGUGCAAGGGGCUGUUUGCACGGUGUGUGGAUUAUCUUUCAUCAGAUGAUCCAUAAGUAACUUCUGAUGAUAUAUAUAGAUUUAAACAGCUUGUUUAUUUAUUUGUGCUAUACUGAGUUGAUAGUUUUAAGAGAGUAUAUAAAUCAGUUCCCAUAUUUAACACAGUUUUCAAACCUCUAAAUUUUCUAAACUGUCCUAUUGAGCAGUUCUCUCUCCAGAUUCUCCAUAGGAUGUUAAGAAAAGUUCUAUGGGGAAAAAAAGGGAAGGGGAUUCAGAAUUAAGUUAGUUUAAAAGUCUUUUUCAUGAUUCUUUUAAAAAGGUGCAAAGGUGGAUUGGCAGAUUGGGAAGCUCUAAGGUGUGGGGAUGGAGGAGGGUUAUUUGUAUAAAAAGUUGUUUGUACAAAAAGAAUUUAGCACCAUUAACACAUAUAUAUGCAAACAUUAAUAUGUAUGGAGGAAAGGGAGGAGCGAGGGGGAGGGAAGGAGUGAGAGAGAGAGAAAGAGCGAGCCUGGGAGAGCGAAUGCAAGAACAAAACUACCAAAAGUAUUGCCUCAGACAAAUAAACAUAUUUACAUUUUCAAGCUGAAAAAAAUCAAGAAACUAUCCUUUAUUCUCCCAAAAGAAAUUUUUUUGUAUCACUAUUUGUAAAACUUACUAUUUUUCCAAGGCAAGCAGUAGAAACUAGAGUGCUUUGACAUGCUGCCAGCAUUCACAGUGAUUUAAAAGCACGGCCAUGGCAUUGCUACAAACCAUAAUUUAAAAGGGUUGGAAGCUGCCCUUUUGUAACAGGGAUAUACAUAUAUGGAUUUAAGUGUGGGCCUCUGUGACAGAAUUCAACACAAGUAUUAAUCCAUUUAUGGUAGGGAAUUUUUAGUUUUCACCCAGCUCUAAAUCAAUCAGAAAUUCUGAACAGAUGUAUGUUAUAAUCAAGUAACGCAUUUUUAAUAAAAUGCAACUGUUUUAUUAGGAGACUUUAACAAAGGUAAAGCAAAACAAUAAUUCUGUUACUUAAUAUGAUAAAUGACAUGGUUGCAAUUAUAUUAAUUAUACCUUCAAUGUGAAAUAACUGGCUAUAAACUCCUGGAAACCUUGGGUCUGUGUCAUACAUUUCAAUAAACACUCUUUAUCUCUAUAUAUUACUUGAAAGCAUUCCCAGCAGAUAGUGUUUCUUAUUGGGUCAUUAUUAGGCUUCCUGAACCUUUUAUUUUCCUCUACUGUUGUAAUCAUGGGCACACUGAAAAAGGAGAGAGCUCACAGUAAAAGUACACCUUUGUCCACAAGGAUGUCUGUGUCACAACAAUCACACUUCAGAGGCGACAGCCUGGUGCAGUUCAAAGUUCACUGGCCCUGAGAGUGAAAAAUGUGCAUUCUAAUAUCUACUCUGCCAUGGAGAAAGGUUUUGGAAAACUCUGAGUUCAAAUUCAGCUCUGCCAUCUAUAAGCCAUAACUUUAGUAAGUUAUUUAACUUUCCUACGUCUUUGAUUUCUCAUACAUAAUAAAAUAAAUAUUAGGAGGAUUAGGUACAAUCAGGUACAUACAGUGCUGUGGUAAGCAGAAUGUUAACAUGGCCCCUAUGACUUCUGUCCCCUGGUGUUACUUUCAUGAUUAUGUUACUUUUAUAUGGCAAAUGGGAGAUUUUCCAGGCGUGCCUACUCUAAUCAUGUGAGCCCUUAAAAAGCAAUGAAUUUUCUCUGGCUCGCAGCAGAAGAGGAAGUUGGAGGCAUGUGAGGUGCAGGAAGGAUUCUAAGCAGUGGUGCUGGCUUUGAAGAUGGAAGGCAUUGUACCUCAAUGAAUGUGACUGGUUUCUAGAAGCUGAGAGUAGCCAGCCCCCAGCUGACAGCCAACAAGGAAACAGGGACCUUGGUUCUCCAACCACAGAAAAUAGAUUCUACCAACAAGAAUGAGCUUGAAAGCAGAUUCUUCCCUCGCACUUAAAGUCUCCUGCAACUAUGGUGAUACACCUUGAUCCGGCAUCUUCCAUUCACCUCUCCAGAUUCAUUCUCCAUGCCUCAGUACUCUGUGCUAUUUCCCAGAAGGCUGAUCCUUAAGGACUACACCUGUGGGAUCCCUUGUCACUGGCAAUGGGACAAUGGGAGGUGCCAGCAGAAAAUCAGAGUGAUGAAGAAUGAGGUCUGGGUAUUUAUCUCCUGGCUUUCUGUAAGUAUACAAGGUGAUAAAAAGGAAAAUGAUUCCUAACAACUUGGGGGUAUGUGGAAGCAGGGGAAGGGGGUGCUGUGGGCUGAACUGUGUUUCCUCAAAGUCAUAUGCUGAAGCUCAAACUCCUAAUGUGACUGUAUUUGGAGCAGGGGCUUUUAAGAAGUAAAGUUAAAAGAUGUCACAAGGUGAACGUCACAAUCCAUUGGAAUAGGUGACCUUAUAAGAAAAGGGAGAGAGAUCUCUUCCUCUCCAGACACACACACACACACCCACACACACCAAGGAAAGGCCAUGUGAGCACGUGGUGAGAAGGCAGCCGUCUGUAAGCCAGGAAGAGAGACCUCACCAGAACUCAACCAUGUUGGCACCUGAUCUCGAACUUUCCAGCCUCUAGAACUGGAAGAAAGUACAUUUCUGUUUAAACUACCAGGUAUGUGAUAUUUUGUUAUGGCAGCCUGAAAAGACAUACAUGGGCAGGGAAGACUUCUCAGAGGUAUUUCUUGAGCUGAGACUUUUUGUUUCCUAGUGGUGGGAGGUAGGGUUUUCCAGGCAGAGAACACCAUGCAAUAAGGCACAAAAUUUCAGGGAAUAGUAUGUAUCAAGCACUUGGAUCAUAGAGUGCUUGGAAGGGAAGUGGAAGAGGCUGGAAAAGCAAGCAGAGGCCAGAUGUUAGGGUUUAAUGUCAAAGGCCAAGAAAUUUGCCUAAAAGAAGUCCAGUGGGAAACUACUGAGGGUUCUUAAGUCAUCUGAAGUAUGUAAUAGUAUCCAUGUUCAAAAGACCAUUCUUGUGAUUGUGUGAGAGGCCAGACUAAUAAAGAGGUAGAGAAUAAUUUAACUCUGAUUUUUGAAAUGUGCCCGAUGGAGCCCUCAGGGUCCUAAGUCAAGGAUCACCAUGAAGCUGGAGGAGGAGGCUAAGUGGGCAGGGUCAUGGGAUCCCAUGUCUACUUCACCCACAUAAGUUCUGUGGCCCUAGACUAGACCUGGAAUCUUUGUUACACUCAGGACAACUAGUCUAGAAUAUUUUACUUCAAAGACUGUACUGAAAGAGGCUACAUAGGGAGGUCAAAGGCACCUGCUUCAGCUCUUUUAGCUAUGGUGAAAAAGUCAGGGAAUUAUCAAGAAUUCUGAGAGAAAUGUGACUGGACCCAUGCCAGGAAGAUGUCAGAACUACUAAGAAAUACCAAUGGGGUGGACUGUUAUCAACCCCAGCUGAAUGACAGGCCAUAUGCAAAGUCCUAGACUAUUAUGGCUCUUAGAUUUUCAGACUACACCCAGUUGAUUAAAUGAGUCUGUGUGAUAAAUUGAAAUGUAAAAGGUUAUUUUCAUGCCAUGGAGAUCUGCUCUUGUCGGAUAUAUUUUCAUCUGAAAAUAUCGAUUAAAAUGAUUAAUAUAGACAUAACAAAAAUGACUAACUUGCUUUAGAGAAAAGAUGAUAUCUCUUAGGAAUGAGCUUUAAAAUCUCACGAGCGGUUUUUGGCAACUGCAUAGCAGAACUAAAAAGAAUGCAGGUUAAGUAUCUCUUACCCAAAAUGUUUCACAAGUAAAAUAAAACAGAAGUGUAUCAGAUUUCAAAUUUUUUUUAAAUUUUGGAAUAUCUGCAUAAACAAUGAGAUAUCUUGGGGAUAGGGCCCAAGUUUAAACAUAAAAUUAAUUUCUGUUUCAUAUACAGCUUAUGUACAUAAGCUGAUGGUAAUUUUAUACAUAUUUUAAAUAAUUUUGUACAAGACACAAAGGUUUGAAUGCAUUUUUGAAUGCAACCUGUCACACGGUCAGGUAUGUGAAAUUUUCCACUUGUGGCAUCGUGUUGACACUCAAGAAGUUUUGGUUUUGGAGCAUUUUGGAUUUUGGAUUUUAUGUAUUAUAAGAUUGUAAGGUAAAAACUAUGCCCAGGAGAGGGCAGUGCAGCCUUCUGUAAAGUUAACUAAUAGGCCCAAUAGAAAAUAGUGUGAGCAUUAAGAGCAGAGAUGUUCUAAUUCAUGAAAACUAUUUUGUGUUAAGUCACUUUACCUUUUUAAAACAUGAGAGACAUACUGCCACUUCUAUGUCCCUUGAAGAGACAGCACAAGGGAGAGCUGCUUAAGUCUUGUAAAAAAAAAUUCUGGAAAACUUUAGCUCCCUAAAACUGAAGAAUUGUAUCAAAACUGAAGAACUGUAUCAGUUCUAGCAGGUUUCUACUGACUUUCCUAUUUUAAACAAUUAUCUUUGUUUCUGAAAACUGAUUCAAUAAACUAGUUUUUAAAAGAGA
RNAcentral lists this long non-coding RNA (7250 nucleotides) under Homo sapiens (human). RNAcentral describes it as "HSALNT0342887". Lineage: Eukaryota; Metazoa; Chordata; Mammalia; Primates; Hominidae. The record is from RNAcentral.